RNAcentral lists this unclassified non-coding RNA (1634 nucleotides) under Hevea brasiliensis (rubber tree). Lineage: Eukaryota; Viridiplantae; Streptophyta; Magnoliopsida; Malpighiales; Euphorbiaceae. The record is from RNAcentral.
CUGUGCUGGCCAACUUUUGCAUUGUAUGCUCGUGCUGCUUUGCAAAGAUGUCUUGAGCAUAUUUAUAAAGCUCCAAGUCAAGAUUGUUAAGUGAUCUUAUCUGCUCAAGAACCACCUCAGGAACAAGGCGACGGUCCUCCUUCGAAAAGUUUGCUGGAGCUAUUCUCUUCAAAGAAGAGGUACGACGACGUGCCUGGGUCUUCCGUAAAUUAGAAAUGCAGUCUUCAUAGGCUGCCAUAAGUUUCUUUACAGUCAUAUUUUCUUUCUUCCCUUCCAGAUUUCCUGUAGAAGCAAUUUCACUUGCCUUUUGGUCUGAGGUGCUAACCUGAUGAUCAUCAUUUUCAUGCUCAGAAUCUGAAAUUGAAGAGCUCUGCUCUGCUUUAUUAUCGGCUGCAGUUUUUCCACACUAGUGUUUGAUGCCAAUGCCUGGGAAAUCACCUGUGCACCAACCACAUUCGCAAACAUUGUUGCAGAUUCUCUGUGGUCCUCAGUGAGGCCAACAUAUAACAUCUCAUCCAACCUCUUCUUAGCAACUUGCAGUACAUGUUCACCAAGAAUCUUAUACUUCUGGACACAAUGGCGCACUUCAUGUGCUUCCACAUAAUAAGAGUUGUUGGUCAAUCCUGCAACCUGGAAUGUUGCUCCAUUGUGAACCAUGUCAUGUGCUAUGGGGUCCAUGAUAUAUUCAUGUAAUGGAAUAACAAUUUCCUCCAUGUUGUAUGGAUCUUUGCUCCUCACAUGAUUGGAACCCCUAAAUUUCCUAGCAUCCCUCCUGUUAAAUAGGUCUUCCCUCAUCCAUGGAACCAAAUACUUCCAGGGCCAUAUAUCCAGUGUACUAACCCCACCAUUCCUAGGGCGCAACCGACCAGCCAUUUGUGUGGCAGAAGUUAAGUUAGGAUGCACCAAGAAUCUAGCCGCCACUUCAACAGAAAAUUCGUAAGUACUGAACACACGGUCAACUGGAUUCCUGAGUAUGGUCACCACUGAAGUUUUCUUCUUUGGAAAUUUGGACAUCAUGCUAUAGUCAUCAUGAGUAACCAACAAUCUGCACUUCUGUUUGCUUGGAUCAAAUCGCAGCUUAUCAUAUGAGCGGGGACAUUCCUCAGAGUUAGAGUACAACUUUCUCAGGAAACAGUGAAAAUAUGUACGCCCUCCAGUUCUUGGGACAUGGAGGAAAAACAACAAAUCUCGUAGCGUGUGUUUGCCCUCUGUAGCUUCUUCUUUAAGAGAAGCUAAGGCCCACUUUUUGACAAUUUUUUCGCAAUGGCUAAAAUCAUUUUUGAUGGGAGAUGCACUUGCCAAUGCAAGAAACAUCAAAAGCACAGUGAACCUCAUUGCAGGAUCCAUCCACAUAAUUCCUACAACUGUAUCGGGUUUAGGGAUCUCGUGCCCAUAAAUUCGUUCAAGUCAGUGUUGGAACUCUACCAGACAGACCUCGCAAUCAGUUAGGGCCCACACCAAACAGAAUCACAAUUUUCCAGAUAUGGUUACUCCGGAUUUUCUCGCCGGCCCAAUACAAAAAAAAGCAGUAAGGCAGUAGCUUUUACAUUUUCGCAGGAAAGUAGAAAAUUUUCUCUUGCUGAAUCUGUGUUUGUAACACUCUCUUUGGAUAAAUUAUUAGAGAGGGAAGAAAU